GACGAACGCUGGCGGCGUGCUUAACACAUGCAAGUCGAACGGAAAGGCCCUGCUUUUGUGGGGUGCUCGAGUGGCGAACGGGUGAGUAACACGUGAGUAACCUGCCCUUGACUUUGGGAUAACUUCAGGAAACUGGGGCUAAUACCGGAUAGGAGCUCCUGCUGCAUGGUGGGGGUUGGAAAGUUUCGGCGGUUGGGGAUGGACUCGCGGCUUAUCAGCUUGUUGGUGGGGUAGUGGCUUACCAAGGCUUUGACGGGUAGCCGGCCUGAGAGGGUGACCGGCCACAUUGGGACUAAGAGACGCAGCAGAGGCCUACGGGAGGCAGCAGGGGGGAAUAUGACACAAUGGGCGGAAGCCUGAGGCGGAGACGCCGCGUGCGGGAUGACGGCUUUCGGGUUGUGAACAGCUUUCGCCUGUGACGAAGCGUGAGUGACGGUAAUGAGUAAAGAAGCACCGGCUAACUACGUG
RNAcentral lists this ribosomal RNA (468 nucleotides) under uncultured bacterium. RNAcentral describes it as "partial 16S ribosomal RNA". It matches the Rfam family "Bacterial small subunit ribosomal RNA", at positions 28 to 507 of the family's 1533-position model. The record is from RNAcentral.